Non-coding RNA from Trichonephila clavipes, 73 nucleotides. NCBI's taxonomy places the organism in Eukaryota, Metazoa, Arthropoda, Arachnida, Araneae, Nephilidae. The record is from the annotation of a GenBank genome assembly.
GUCCCUGUAGCGUAAUGAACAGCGCGUUGAACUUCUAAUACAAACGUCUUGGGCUCGAAUCACACGUGGGAUG